RNAcentral lists this small RNA (726 nucleotides) under Pan troglodytes (chimpanzee). RNAcentral describes it as "processed transcript". Lineage: Eukaryota; Metazoa; Chordata; Mammalia; Primates; Hominidae. The record is from RNAcentral.
ACUUUAGGUAAAGUUGGCCGAGUACAACAGAUUUAUUCAGACAGUGAUUUAAAGGUGGAAGUUUGUGGAACAUCUUGGACAUACAAUCCAGCAGCAGUUUCCAAGGUGGCAUCUGCAGGAUCAGCCAUUAGCAAUGCAUCUGGUGAAAGACUCUCACAACUCCUGAAGAAAUUAUUUGAAACCCAAGAAUCUGGUGACCUCAAUGAAGAAUUAGUUAAGGCUGCUGCCAAUGGAGAUGUUGCUAAAGUGGAAGAUUUGCUUAAAAGACCAGAUGUGGAUGUAAAUGGGCAAUGUGCUGGCCACACAGCUAUGCAAGCUGCUAGUCAGAAUGGUCAUGUUGACAUUUUGAAGUUACUUUUGAAGCAAAACGUGGAUGUUGAAGCAGAGAAAGAAUUAUGACUUUGGUGUGAAGAAUAGAUUGGGAUAAGAAAGUGAAGGGAGGUUGAGUUGUGGUAAUCAUCCAGGAUAAAGAUGGUGAUAGAGCAGUUCACCAUGCAGCUUUUGGAGAUGAAGGCGCUGUUAUAGAAGUACUACAUCGAGGUAGUGCUGAUUUGAAUGCUCGAAACAAGCGCCGACAGACACCACUUCAUAUUGCUGUCAAUAAAGGUCAUCUUCAAGUUGUGAAGACUUUAUUGGACUUUGGCUGUCAUCCCAGUCUCCAGGAUUCUGAAGGUGAUACCCCUCUUCAUGAUGCAAUAAGUAAGAAACGUGAUGAUAUCCUAGCAG